Canis lupus familiaris (dog) is the source of this 1245-nucleotide long non-coding RNA. RefSeq lists it as uncharacterized. NCBI's taxonomy places the organism in Eukaryota, Metazoa, Chordata, Mammalia, Carnivora, Canidae. The transcript has 5 exons. The record is from RefSeq and is a predicted model, not a curated record.
CUCAGAUAGCAAAUGGAUUGAACUGGAUUCUAGAAAGUCAGAAAAGGGGAGAUCCUUGCCCUAGGACAUAAAUUGGGCAAGCCUUAACAUUUUCUCUGUUUUGGAGAGUUAAGAGCCGGAUGAGUGACUAGUCAACGCAGCUGGGGCAACCAGGUCCGAACUCCAGGAAGGCGCACACCCGGAGGGAAGCUGAGCUGAGCCGGGAGGCUUGGGCCUGCUACAAACACUGGCCGGGCCAGUCACCAAAAGGAGGUGAUUGAGGUCACAGUAGGGACGGGGAGAGGUUACUACCUUCCCAGGUUACGGCCCAGUGAUGCGAGCACAAGUGAGCACAGUCCACACUCGUGAUUUUUCAGUCCAAGAAAGAAUGGGAGAUAUUCUGAGUGAAACACGAUCGGUCAGCACCCAUCUACCAUUCUUUGAAAAUCCAGUGCCAUCUAUGAGGAUGACAAAGGACUAAUUUCGCUUCUGAAAGAGCACAGGACCCAGGACUGCUGCAUCAGAGCCCUCCACCAUCUUGCCCACAGAGAUUAUUUUAGAGGUGGAGGUGGAGAUGCUGUUUGUGACAAUGAGGCAUCAAACCACAUGCCAUUGGUGGCUGCAUAGAAAGAGCCCCAGAGAACUCUGAACUGCCUACCUCUACACCUCCUUUCUACAGGAAUGGCUGGACCUCCUCCAGAGGAUCGUCAGAAGGGAGAUAGAUUCCUGCUGUAAGAGCAUUUUCAUUUAAAUUCUUGGAUCCACGGAAGGCAGUAAUGCACACAUUAUGCUGCAUGUGAAGACUAUCUCCUAAUUAAGAAAAAGGGUUGAACAAAGACUUGCCCUAUCUUGCAAAUGUUUUUUUCUUCUCAUAUGACAGCAAUUCAGUCUCCUUUGGUAGCUCACUAUCUGUUAGUUUCUUUAGACAUCACCAACAAAAGGAAAUGUAUGUGUGUGUGCACAGUAUGGCACAGAGAUUUCCAAAUGAUUAUGCAUCUUAUUCUAAAACCAAUCUGAGAUACUUCUUCCAUCUCAGCUUUCAUCCCAUUCAGGACUUACCUUUGCACGGAAGAAUUUUUAAUCUCUAGUAGUUGGCUUUUUCUCAGCUAGGUAUGAUUUAUUCUUGCCCAGGUGUAAUAAGUUCUCACUCAUCUUUGAGACCCUUGCCCACCCCAUUAUGUGUGUGUGUAUAUAUAUAUAUUUAUAUAUAUCGAUAAGCACCUUGUACUCAGUAGAAGAGUUAAAUAUUUAUUGAAUAAAUCUAUU